Oryzias melastigma (Indian medaka) is the source of this 4188-nucleotide long non-coding RNA. RefSeq lists it as uncharacterized. Lineage: Eukaryota; Metazoa; Chordata; Actinopteri; Beloniformes; Adrianichthyidae. The transcript has 2 exons. The record is from RefSeq and is a predicted model, not a curated record.
UCAAAUGACCUGACAAGGAUGAAAGGAAACACUUAAAGAUACUCAAUACAGUUGACAGAAAUGAAAAGAGCUAUGAACAGUUUGCUUGAACUGCGUAUGGUUGCAACAAAAGGUCAAUUCAAAGCAGAACAUGACUAAAAAUAAACUAACUAAAACAAACAAAUUCUCACAUUGAAGCACACAUUUCUUGCAUUUAAUAUAAUUCAGCUUUGUUUGUUUUGGAUUUUUCCACAGAAUGUUCAGUUGUGACUUUGCUCUUAUGGAAUGAUAAGAUCUGUUAGAUGCAGAGUUACCACACAGCACCAUACUUUCUACUUCAAAACUUUGCCCCCAAGGUACCCAGCUGGAGACCCCGGUGAAAGGCUGACCUCGCCACACAGUUCACGUUGGUUCAUUCACAUCCAUGCCUGGAGGCAGCAGGGAUGGAUCAGUGCACCCAUAGUGAUAACCCUUGACUUGUGAGCUUUACGGACACUGAAAAUCACAAGAAAAAGCCCCUUACUUCAUGACUUCAGUGUGUUUAAAGGAUCAGUAAAGGGUGCGAAUCCAUGCAAGCAAGCCAUUGUGAAUAGUAUUGUCAGAAAGACGACUAAAACUUAAGUCUUCAGUUCAGGCACGAACUAAAGAAAAAAAUAAGUAUAAGUAAGAAUAAAGAAGAGAAACAGGAAAUUAGAAAGAAAGGGAGGGUGAGUGUGACAAGCGCUAUAACGUCCUCCGAGAUGCAUUUGGACAGAGUGAGCAUCUGUCAAAACAAGGCAGCCUCAACGGCCGCCUCACUAAUGGCUGUGGACAUGAGCGAAAGAGGGGGAGAAAAAGACAGGGGGGGGGGUAUAAAACCGGUCUGCACACACAUACACACACCAACUAUUAGCUGCUUCUACUUUUCUCCAGCAGAUCCCACCAAUCAUUUGAUUCCAAAUUUCAACAAAGCUGCACUGUAAUAAGUAUUGAACUACUUUCCUAUUGGUGUGAAUGUGAGCACAUUGAUGUGUGUGUCUGUGUGCGAGCGUGGUGUGUAGAUGUCCGCCAUCUAACUGGGGAUUUUUGUUGUAUACACUUGCCUCCAUUCCUCAUUGUGAUGAAUAGACUGGCGUGUCAAUCUGUCAUAUGGAUUGUUGUUGUUUUUUUCCCCCCUUCAUUUUCUCUCUUUUUUUCUCAGACAGUUUAGCCACAGUUAUAUUUUCUCCUACUCACUCCAAAAAAGGACCGUGAACAGUCACCUGGAGCUGUAAAUCAAAGUGCUGGAAGAAAAUGUGAAACCACAUUUUUGUUUUCACUCUUUUGCUUCUGUAUGUUAAUCAAUCAAAGAUACAAAAACUACUUUUCCACAUAGAACAAAGCACAAAGUUCUUCAAAGAACAAAAAAAUAACUACAACUGUCCAAAUUUUGCCCCCCCUUUCAUUGUCCUUUAGGCAGGAAAACCCUUUAGGAGGUUAACCUGGUAUCAGCACCACGGACAGCUCCCAUGUCAAAACCAUUGACUGUUUAUGAGAACUGGACCAAGUGAUUUCUGUGUUACGUUAAGCCAUGUUUUUGCGAUACAGAUGCUGCCAUGUUGGAGUCAGAUGACAUCAGUGGGCUGUGAUUGGACCGUGUCGUCUGAGUCCACCUUUCCAUGGCGUCCACUCUUGCCAGUCAGGAGUGAGCUCGUUGGAAGCUCUCACCUUUACCCCUCAAAGAGGACUCAGGGCAAUCUGCCAAUCAAACAUUCUGAAUGUUCACUGUCAGGGCCGGCAUGCUUCACAUACUUUUGAGCCAUCUGAUUGGUCAGUUGAUAACUUGAAUCAUUUGCCCUUCAAAAAAAAAAUGAUCAUAAAAAGAAAAAAAAGAUUAGGAUUAGGAAGAACAUUUUACCAAACAGAAAAUUGUUACUCUGACAAAUAUAACAACUGAAUAAUUUUGGUAUCUUUGAGCCAAAAUUUAUUUGGAACGCGAGAGGGUAGGGGUCAUUCAGUCCAGUUCUUAUGUACAGUCAAUGGUCAAAACCAACAACCUCCCCAAUGCAGAGAGCUCCGACUACAGAGGAAAAACUAUAAGUGAUAAAAAGGAGAAAUGUUAAAUUCUAAGAAACACAAAAAUGUUUUAAAUAAAAAUAAUUUGUGCUUUAACAUUAAGAAAUAUAUAUAUUUUAACACUUUUCUGUAAAUAAACAUAAUUUUGUCAAUAUUUAUCAUAAAUUGGCCUCAAAUGUUUUAUUUUAAUCACAAAUGUUUAUCUCCACUCCUGUUUAAAAAAAAGUUAUUUUUUGACAGAUAAUGUAAAUGAAUGUGAAAGAUAGAAAAUGAUAGAAAAGGGAUAGAAAGUCCUUGUUCCUCCAUCUUUACAAAAAAUGCAGAGUAAAAGAAUGUCUAUUUGUGGAAUUUUGGAUCUCCUGUGACGCUACAGUAAAUGCAUUUGUUAAUGCACACACAAAAUAAGCUCUUUAUCAGAUGCAAUUAUUUACAUUUUGCAAACGUAAUAAUUAUGCUGAAGAAUCAUCUGUGCUGCAACAGCAGGAACAAUCUGCUUAUUGAAAGCAGCAUCUACAUCUACAUAGUUUGGUUUCAAAUUCUUCUCAAUUCUCUUUUAGUAUUUUAUAGCUGACUGUAAAGAUUCAGUGCAUAUCUUUGGGGUAUUUAUGCAAACAUGUAUCCACUAUCAUAAAAAAAACAAUAAAGUUUCUGUUAGAAAAAAUCUAAACCAUUUUUUUAAGUUAAAACAUUUAUAUUUCAACAGCCUAAAUAAACUCAACAUUAAAAAAACGCUCAGAAAUCAUAAAUGACAUAAAAAAAAAACUAAUGUUAAAUAAUUUUAAUAGUUUCCCUUUAUCUAACAGCAUUUAUGUUUCUUUUGUUAUUUGAAUUAAAAAAACCCUUUUCCAAAAUUUAAGAAAACUGUUGUUAAGUCAAAAAAUUGGAGGAAAAAAAAGUCUGUUGAGCUCGUUUACUAACAGAAUAUCGUUUUUUUGUCAGAACAAACACAUUUUUAUUGUAGAACCGUUGGUCUCCUGUUUUGUUUAAUGUAUAAAGCUAUUUAGCAUUUUUUUCCUCCAUCCCAGCUGGAACUUCUUCUAAGAAAACUGAAAUAUGAUUGAGAACCUCCAGUAAAACAGAGUAAGAAUCCAAAUAAUAGACUGAGUGCGCUUUAAAAUCAAGCUGCCUCAGACGUGAUCUUCUACUGGAGGAACCAAAUAAACCAGUCAAACACCAGCGUCUAUUGUAGUCUGUAGCCAUAUUAGUCGUUCUCAAAAUAUGUCAAAACCCCUCUUGUUGCCUUGUUUUUCAAAUACUGCACUCCCUUAAAAAAGAACUCCAAAAUGUACAUAUUGCAAUUGUUUUCCUUUUAUUGUCAUUUUUUCCCAUUUCUUUUCUGCUGGCAUUGUUCAUCUUCUAGCUGCAAGUUGGUUGUUACUGUUGGUGCAGAUGACAUUCAAACUCAGCCAUUUAUGCAGCUUCACUCAGCUAAAAAGACAACGCACAUUGAGAGCAAUGGGGGUCAAGUGAGCUCAAGAAUUAAUGAGGAGAGCGAGAGAGAGCGCUUUAAUUACUCACAGAAGAAGACAGUGAAAAAGUUUGAGACAAGCGAUAAAUUGCUUUAUUCAGGCACCACUCACCCGGCCGCUCAGUUCACAGGUUUGUCUUUUCAGAGUUUAUUGUGCAUUCUAGAAUAUAGAAAUAUAUUUCAAGUAAAAGUUUGAAUACAAAAAAGGCAAACUAUGAUUUUUUUUUUUUAAUGGAUCCUCUCCUCUGUUGCAUUUACCAACAAAAUCCACUCACAAGCUCAUAAACUCCUUCACUGGCUGUUUGUCCUGCCACUUUUUGCAAUUCCUGCAAACAUACAGUACAGUGAUUUUUUUUUCUUUUUUUUAUUUAUAUUCUUCUUAUUCUCAAUUUUCUGUUUCUGAUUUAUUUCAUUUAAUGAAAUGUGCAACUUGCUCUUUUAGAAUGUUCUACUUUCAUUGCUUUACGCAUCAAGACAGUGGUCUUCAUAUGCAUUAAAGCUUGUCAGGCGCUCUGUUAUCUUAUUUAAGGCCUGCUGGAAUAAUGCCUGAUCAGGUCACCUUAAAAAAAUGUUUAAAAACAUUCUUACUCAGCAACUUUCUGAGAUCUCCACACACACACCCCUCCGCUUGCCAAACACACACAUUUGUACCACAAUGGAAUGACUUAAAUGCAUAAAGAGAUAAUAAAAUGUUGAAGUACAAAUAA